Long non-coding RNA from Rana temporaria (common frog), 728 nucleotides. RefSeq lists it as uncharacterized. NCBI's taxonomy places the organism in Eukaryota, Metazoa, Chordata, Amphibia, Anura, Ranidae. The record is from RefSeq and is a predicted model, not a curated record. The transcript has 3 exons.
AGAUGUGAUAGAACGUUUAUAACACGAUUCAGAGAUGCAGAAUAUUCCUCUCCUGUUCAGAUCACAGCAGCCAUUCACUUCGAAAACUUACCAUGGUUCUAGAGGAGCAGACAGUGAUUACAGAGUGUGCAGAAAAUGACUGAGGUGGUGACGCAUGCAAGCUGCUAGGCCUGUUCUCGUUAAAUAAUUGAUGACGGAUACGAGCACUACAGCAGUGGAGUCUGCCUAACGUAGGAUCGUCAGCUAAAAAUCAGACUUGCAGGAGAACAUGUGGCGGCUUCGAAACAAAGAAGGAUAACAUUUUACCACACAAGAAGCAAGGGACAAUCUGCAACCGGAAAACAGACAAAUUACAACCGGACAAGCUGGUCAUCCAAUGUAUCAACCAUUUUUAAGAUAUAUUCAUGAGUAAUUUCACACCGUGAGCAGGUAAUUCAUGUUUCCCAUUUCCAUUUUUUUUUUAUUUGCUUUUGAUAAUACAACUCAAGACACCACAGCAGGAAAUUAGGUGAUGAACUUUAAUCUACCAAUAUCAAAGUUUAUAGAAAUUGUUUAGAGCAGAGUUAGUGCAGUUUAAUUAUCACUAUCAAAAUUGUAUUAUGCUAUAAUACACUUAUGCUAUUUUAUAUACAUUGGUAAAAAAAAGUACUGUAUAACUAAUAAAAAAAGUGUUUUAUAUUUAUUUUUUAAAUCUCUCUCUAUACAUAGAGAUAGAUAGCUUAUUCAUG